GGAGAGGUGGCAGAGUGGUCGAUUGCACCGGCUUGCUAAGCCGGCGAUAGGGUUUGCCCUAUCCGUGGGUUCGAAUCCCACCCUCUCCGC
RNAcentral lists this transfer RNA (90 nucleotides) under Kolteria novifilia. RNAcentral's name for it is "Planctomycetes bacterium Pan216 tRNA-Ser". It matches the Rfam family "tRNA". From Rfam's summary of the family: Transfer RNA (tRNA) molecules are approximately 80 nucleotides in length. Their secondary structure includes four short double-helical elements and three loops (D, anti-codon, and T loops). Lineage: Bacteria; Pseudomonadati; Planctomycetota; Planctomycetia; Kolteriales; Kolteriaceae. The record is from RNAcentral.